GAUGGAGAUGAACAAACUGAAGCUGCGAACUCCGAACUGUGCUAGAUUCAAGUUCGAUCGAUCUUCUUCAUUUCCAUUUGAGGUUGAGGUGAUCGUUCUCCAUCUCAGACUUUAUUGUUCUUUGUUUCUGAUGCUUUUUUUUGUUUUUGGUAAAUAACAUCUAACUUUAAAGCUUUAGAUUUAUGCCAUGGAUUUUUUAUUUGUCAAGAGCAUGGAUUUAUUAUUUGUCAAGAGUAUUUAAUCAUGUUUCUAUAAAAAGCAAAUGAAUAACUCUCCUCUGCUCAUAUAUAUUAGAUCAACAGAUCAAACUACUCUUUGUACAAAAACAUAUAGCUGCUGCUCUAUGGAUCUAACUUUUAUUUUUCUUCAUACAUCACAUAAGAUGAGGUGUGGAAAUUUUUAGAUCCCAUGUUAAAUAAGAGACAAGAUCAUAUUGCUCAAUAAUUCAUAUUAAUGUGCAACUAGACCACUGCUUAUGCAUAAGUUACAAAUUCAUUUUGAACAGUCUAUCGCUCUAAGGUUAAAAAAAAUUGUUGAUUUAUGCUAUUUAUUUGUGCAUGUUUUUGGCGGGAAGUGUGAAGGAUAAGAUGACGUUAUUGUUGUAUAAGUUGGGGGAGACAUUUUUGUCCAAGUUAGCAGAGAAGUUGGUGGAUAUUGCACUGAGCAAAAAAGACGAGGCCACUUUCGAAUCUCUGCAAACUAACAUGAGGUUACUGCGUGCUAAAGCAUCUGAUGUCGAAGAUGCAAUCAAGAGGGAUGAGCAAUCCGGAAAAAGGAAAAGGAAAAGGAAAAGAGAAGUUGGAGAUUGGUUAGAACAAGUUCAAUCAAUUGACAAUGAACUUGGUAUAUUGGAAAAUGAAAUGCGAAUGGAAGGCUUUGUGACACAAUUCUUUGGUGGAGGUCGAGCUGCAAAACUAGAAGCAAGAAUGCGCGAGCUGGUAGAGCAAAGGCAGCAUUUUGGCGAGCUUGUAGUUGAUGAUUAUGAGAUCAAGGGAGACAAGUUUUGUGUUGGGGAGUUAGUAGGUAAGCAAUUCAAGAAAAAUUUGGAAACAAUUUUGAGUUUCCUGUCGUCUGAUGGGGUGUCGAGCAUUGGGAUUUAUGGCAUGGGGGGUGUUGGUAAAACAACACUUGCCAAGAAUGUAAAUAAUCAUCUCCAAGUACAAAGAAGCGUGCAUGUUGUAUGGAUCACGGUGUCUCAAGAGUUUACAAUUUCGAUUUUGCAAGAUGAAAUAGCUAAAUCCAUCGGCCAUCGUCUCUUAAACGAGAGGAAUGAAGAUAAAAGAGCAUCUCAAUUGAAUGCAAUGCUAUCCAAAAUAAACAAUCUUGUUAUUAUAUUUGAUGAUGUUUGGAAGUAUAUUGAUUUGAAAAAGUUGGGAGAUCCGCUCUCUCUGAAUGGAUGUAAAAUAGUGAUAACUUCUCGCUCAAAAAAAGUGUGCGAUCAAUUGGAUUGCAACAAAAUAAUGAAGGUGGAGACGCUGCAAGAAAAUGAAGCGUGGUUUUUAUUCAAAGAUACACUUGGGCGAGAUGUGAAGUUAACUUUGGAAGUCCAAGAAAUUGCCAAGUGUAUGGUUAAAGUAUGUGAUGGUCUGCCGCUAGGUGUUAUCACUAUUGCAGGAAGCAUGAAGGGUGAGACUGAGGUUCAUGUAUGGAGUGAUGCAUUGGCAGAAUUGAGGGCAUCCAUCAUGGGGCAAGACGACAUGGAAGAGCAUGUGUUUAAAGUUCUUAAAUAUAGCUUUGACCGAUUGGAUCAAUGCGAAGGAAAGAAUAAAGGGUAUUCGAAGUUUCAACACUGUUUCCUAUAUUGCUCCUUAUAUCCAGAAGAUUGGAAUAUAGAGGAAGAGCAUUUGAUCCGAUAUUUUAUUUUAGAGGAGUUUAUGGAAAAAAGAGAUAAAAGGAAAGAACUCUUUAACCAAGGUCGCACCAUAGUCAACAGAUUAGUGAAUGUUUGCUUACUAGAAAGAGUAAGCCACAGAGUAGUAAAGAUGCAUGAUUUAAUGAGAGCUAUGGCAUUAAAGAUUGCUGAAGGUAAGACCAUGGUAAUAUCGGGGCACUAUUCCUUGAAGACUAUUCCGACUGAAGAAGUAUGGGGCAAUGACCUCGAGAAGAUGUCUUUGAUGCGUAAUGGCAUAAGUAAAAUACCAGAUGCAUUGUCUCCAAGCUAUCACAAGUUGUCAACAUUACUUUUGGCCGAAAAUUUUUCCCUGGACUACAUACCAAAUUCAUUCUUCCUGCAAAUGUGCAGCCUAUUCAUCCUUGAUUUGUCGGGGACUAGGAUCAAGAUGUUACCAAAUUCUGUCUCAGACAUUACAAGCCUUAAAGGGUUGAUCCUUGCAAGUUGUUCUAAACUCGAAUAUUUGCCUUACUUGGGAAAACUCAAGAAUUUGAAGGAGUUGGAUCUCUCAUUCAGUGGAAUACAAGAAAUUCCUCAAGGCGUGGAAGAAUUAUUGGAUCUCAAUUUUUUGUCAUUUAAUGGCACCCGCCACUUGAAAAAGCUACCAAGUUGUUUGGUAUCCAAGUUUACAUAUCUUCAAUGUCUCUACCUUCCACGCGAUAAAUACGUUCCAGUGGAAGAAAUACUGAAGCUAAAGCAGUUGGAGGAGUUUCGAGGGAUAUUGAAAGAUGUUUAUGAUUAUAAUUUGUUGAUGAGAAAUAGGCCAGAUUUAGCUUACUCCAUCAGUAUAGGAUCGGUUUGUAUUGAUCCGUGGGGCUUUUAUAAUCGGUUGGAGUUACGGCAUUGUGACCUUCAUUCAAGUAAGGACAAAGACGUGACUAUACUGGCCGGAGACAUCCAACAUCUACGAUUGAUCAAGUGUAAGGGGUUGAGCAAGUGUUUAGUGGAAGAUCUCAGGCUGGUUUUCAAUAAUCCCACUUCAAUAGAAAGCUUGGAAAUUGAGGAUUGUGAAGAAAUAGAGUGCCUUUCGAGGAUCGAACAAUCCACAUUUACAUCAGCAUCCAUAUCAUCACACAUCCAUUUCUGGUCACUUAUCCAGCUGAGGAUUUAUAAGUGCAACAAGGUGAAGAAGCUCGGGGUACCAGCAUCGGAUCUCCAGACCUUGAAAUUUCUCAGAAUUGCUGAUUGUGAAAUGAUAGAAGAGAUAUUUGAAAUGAAGCAAGGCACCGGCAGAGGAGGAGAAUCCAGAGAAGCAUCUACGGCCUGCCAGCUCCCCAAACUAGAGUCUUUACAACUUCAAAAUCUACCAGAUUUGAAGAGCAUCUGCCACACAACAACAGUCUGCAGUUCGAUUAGUCAUAUCACUUUACAAAAAUGCCGAGCAUUGCUUAAGUUUUCUUUGGUUUUCGGACAGCCAAGUGAUGAUUAUGACGAUGAUAUGGCUCCAACAGCCCUCAAAGAAAUUGAAUUAUUGAAGAGUGAGAAGGAAUGGUGGGAGAAGUUGGAGUUGGGGCAUCCCUCACACCAUUCUCUCCUACAACCAUUUAUUCAAUGGAACUGAAGCCAUAAUCAGGUGGAAUCACAUGAAGAGACCCCAAACUGUGUUAGAACAUACAUUUAAUUCAAGGCUGGCAUUUCUCCAUAUCAAAUUUUUUAAAGGUACGUGUUCUGCAUGAUUUCUCAAUACUGUAUGGUAUAUCCCGGGCGUGUUGGGCACAGAGGAUGGCUGGUCUAGGCCUCAGCGUGGGCUUGGCCUAGGGGUCGGGCGUGUCAGCUUUCGGACACGUUACAUAUGGUAUCAGAGCCGACCUUGGCGUUGGUGACGAACGAAGCGACAAAGUGGGCAUAUCUCGAGUCAAGGAGCAUGUCAGUGGACACGUCAAGGAUGAUCAAGAGGAUCAUGUCCUAAGGAAACUGGACAGUCCGACGUUGCCGAGCACGUCAAGGAAGAGCAUGUCCUAAGAUAACUGGACAUCCCAAGGAGGGGGAGUAUACUCGACGUUGCUGAAAAGGCCAAGAGGGCCGAGCUUUGUUCAUGAGGGAAAAACCAGUACUCGGGCGAAAAUCACACAAGCCGCAAAAAGGAUGUCUCGAAUGGUGUGUGGAGAUGCGUAGCGGAAGUUGGGUCGCACAUGGAUUAUGGCAAAAGACCUCGCUGGCUGUUGGUGAGCACCAAAAGAAUGGUAUGCAGGAAAAGGUUCGGCGGAGGCAUACCGAGGGUGCAAGAAACAACGUUAGUGCACUCAAGUAGCGUCGCACGAGGGCGUUUACGACUGACCUGAAGUGGGGGAGUUUGUCAUGAGCUGACAUUCCUGUCCCUGGUUCUCGGCCAUAGUUCGUCCCAUGUGUGCGAGCCCCUGUCCUGUACGACCGACUAAUGACCCAUAUCUUGGUGCAGGUACGUGUGUUCCGCAUGAUUCUCCCAUAGUAUAUGGUGCGCACAAGACUCUCUGGGCCUCAGCGCGGGCGUGGCCUAGGCGCCGGAUGUGUCAGCUUUUGGACACGUUACAACCGUCUCUUUUGAUGUAUAGGGCAGCCUCAUUUGGACUCCGUUUGAAACUAUUGCGAAGAAAUGAGUGGCCGAGGAGAAUUCAGUCGAGCAUCUUUGGUCGGCCUCCCCAAACUAGAGGAUCUUAAGUCUUCAAAAUCUGGUCGGCCUCCCCAAACUAGAGGAUCUAAGUCUUCAAAAUCUACCAAAAUUGAAGACCAUCUUCCUUACAACAACAGUCUGCGGUUCGAUUAAUUGUAUCACGUCGGGAAAAUACCGAGCUUUGCAGGUUUUUGGAAAGCCAAGCGAUGAUGAUGAUGAUGACGAUGAUAUGCCUCCAACAGGUUUCGAAAAAUUUUGCUUAAUGGAUAAUGAGAGGAAUGGUGGGAGAAGUUGGAAUUGGGACAUCCCUAAACCAUUAUCUGCUACAACCAUUUAUUGUAUGGCUUUGAAGCCAUAGCCAGGUGUAGGGAUGACAAUGGGUUCGGACAGAACGAGACCUGACUACGGAACCGACCCAUUUAUUUAGGAUUGGGUUCAAUUAUUCGGAUAUUGGAUCCAGAUUCGGGUAUCUUAUAUCCUUAUCAGGUCCAGGUCGGGUCUUGGGUCCAAGGGUGGAUCCUACUAAUAUAUUAAUUAUAUAUAUAUAAAAAAAAAAUAUUUUUAAUAAUAUAAAUUAUAUUAAAAAUAUGUUUUUACUUUAAUUUAUUUAUUUUUAUUAUUUUAUUAUAAUAUUUUUAAAUAAGAUAUAUCACUUUUAAUGUAUGCCGGGUCCGGAUCAGAGUUCGAGUCCAAUUAUUAAUGAAAAUUCAAAUAGUCUUUUAACAUUAAUAAUAUUUUAUAUUAUAUAAUUCUAAUAACAAGAGAAAGAUUAAUAGUCCUUACUUACUACUAUUAUAUUUAACUUUUACUUUGUUUUGGAUAUAAUAAUAUAUAGUAAAUAUAUACUAAAUUUGUUAUCCACCGUAAUCAUCCAAAAGUAAAAGUAUCGCCGCCAAAUAUUCAAUUUCCAUAUCUUCAAUGUCUUUAUCUUCCAUGGGAUCAAUAUGUUCCAGUGGAAGAAAUACUGCAGCUGAAGCAUUUGGAGGAGUUUCCUGGGAAAUUGAAGGAUGUUUGUGAUUAUAAUUUGUUGAUGAGAAACAAGCCUGGUUUAGAAUACUCCAUCUUUAUAGGAUCAUUGAUGUAUUUUGGCCAGUUUGUCGGCUUUUAUAAUCAGGUUGAGUUCCAUGAUUAUGACUUCGAUUCGAGUAAGGACAAAGAUGCGACUACAAUGGCUGGAGACAUCCAACAUCUCGGAUUUACUAAGUUUAAGGGGUUGAGCAAGUGUUUGGCUGAUGCUCUCAAACAGGUUUUCAAAAAUCCCACUUCAAUAGGAAACUUGACAAUUGAGGAGUGUGAUGAAAUAGAGUCCCUUUCAAGGAUCGAACAGUCCAUGUCAUCACACGUCUUUUUCUCGUCAUUAAAGAAGCUGGAUAUUGAUAGUUGCAACGAUAUGAAGAAGCUCGGGCUACCAGCAGUGCAUCUCCAGAACCUGGAAUUUCUCAGUAUUGUUGGUUGUGAAAUGAUUGAAGAGAUAUUUGAAAUGAAGCUGCAAUUCGGAGAAGCAUCUAUGGUUUUCCAGCUCCCCAAAUUAGAGUAUCUACGUCUUCAUAAUCUGCCAAAAUUGAAGAGCAUCUGCCAUACAACGACAAUCUGCAGUUCAAUUUAUUACAUCACAUUGGAAAAUUGUCCAGCAUUACACAAGUUUUGUUUGGCUUUCGGACAGCCGAGUGAUGAUGAUGAUAUUGCUCCACCAACAGCUCUCAAGGAAAUUGAAUUACUGAAUAGUGAGAAGGAAUGGUGGGAGAAGUUGGAGUUGGGGCAUCCCUCGCACCAUUCUCUCCUACAGCCAUUCAUUCGAUGGAGAUGAACAAACUGAAGCUGCGAACUCCAACCUGUGUUAAAAAAAAAAUAAAAACCUGUGUAAGAACAUUUAGUUAAUUAAGGUUGAAUAAACCUUUGUGCGGUUAUUUUUAGUUAUACUUUAAUCUAAUGUAACACAUUUCGUUUACUUGUCUAUAAAAUAUUUUCUAAGAGAAAAUUGCAAAAAAUAUCCC
Andrographis paniculata is the source of this 6475-nucleotide RNA transcript. It is a transcript of the gene named probable disease resistance protein At4g27220, with no coding region annotated. The record is from RefSeq and is a predicted model, not a curated record. The transcript is spliced from 4 exons. Lineage: Eukaryota; Viridiplantae; Streptophyta; Magnoliopsida; Lamiales; Acanthaceae.